AUACUAACCUGGCAGGGGAGAUACCAUGGUCAUGAAGGUGUUUUUCCCAGGGCGAGGCUUAUCCAUUGCACUCCACAUGUGCUGACCCCUGCGAUUUCCCCAAAUGUGGGAAACUCGACUGCAUAGUUUGUGGUAGUGGGGGACUGCAUUCCCGCUCUCCCCUG
This is a small nuclear RNA of Oryctolagus cuniculus (rabbit), 164 nucleotides long. Its record names the gene U1. It matches the Rfam family "U1 spliceosomal RNA". Rfam says of the family: U1 is a small nuclear RNA (snRNA) component of the spliceosome (involved in pre-mRNA splicing). Its 5' end forms complementary base pairs with the 5' splice junction, thus defining the 5' donor site of an intron. There are significant differences in sequence and secondary structure between metazoan and yeast U1 snRNAs, the latter being much longer (568 nucleotides as compared to 164 nucleotides in human). The record is from Ensembl. Lineage: Eukaryota; Metazoa; Chordata; Mammalia; Lagomorpha; Leporidae.